RNAcentral lists this ribosomal RNA (492 nucleotides) under uncultured bacterium. Its description in RNAcentral is "partial 16S ribosomal RNA". It matches the Rfam family "Bacterial small subunit ribosomal RNA", at positions 29 to 507 of the family's 1533-position model. The record is from RNAcentral.
AGUGAACGCUGGCGGUAGGCCUAACACAUGCAAGUCGAACGGCAGCACAGUAAGAGCUUGCUCUUCCGGGUGCCGAGUGGCGAAGGGGUGGGGAUUACACCGGAAUUUACUUUUUGGUGGGGGUUAACGUAGGGAAACUUACGCUAUUACCCCAACCGACUUCCGGUUGAAAGCAGGGAAUCUUCGGACCUUGCCCGAUUGAAUGAGCGGAUGUCGGAUUAGCUAGUUGGCGGGGUAAAGGCCCACCAAGGCGACGAUCCGUAGCUGGUCUGAGAGGAUGAUCAGCCACACUGGAACUGAGACACGGUCCAGACUCCUACGGGAGGCAGCAGUGGGGAAUAUUGGACAAUGGGCGCAAGCCUGAUCCAGCCAUACCGCGUGGGUGAAGAAGGCCUUCGGGUUGUAAAGCCCUUUUGUUGGGAAAGAAAAGCAGCAGGUUAAUACCCCGCUGUUCUGACGGUACCCAAAGAAUAAGCACCGGCUAACUUCGUG